CGGACGUUUCGGGAGCCCGACGUUUCGGGACCCGGAUGUUUCGGGACUAGACAACACGUUUCGGGACUUCGAUUAACAUGUUUCGGGACUUCAGAAACUGUAUCCAUGCACUCUGUGGUAUAUGAAAGUUGUAUGAAACGUCAUUUUCAUUAGCCGGGUCAUUUGAUUGUCAGCACGUCGCCGGGUAUACCCAGUUCGAGUCGGCCGGAUUUUUCAGAAUCAAUAGGAUUUUCCAAGCACCGGGCGCAAACCCACUGAAGGUCUUCUUGCAGUUUCCCUAUUCGUCUAUACUGGUCACGGCUGAUUCCUGUCAUAUUAUUAAAAUUUGUGUUCCAUUACAUUGUUCAUUUGAUGGAAUUUUUUAAUCAUUACUAUACAACUGCUUUCCAUUCUUAUUUUUCAUUAAGUAAAAGAAUAAAAUCA
This is a long non-coding RNA of Ostrea edulis (European flat oyster), 423 nucleotides long. RefSeq lists it as uncharacterized. NCBI's taxonomy places the organism in Eukaryota, Metazoa, Mollusca, Bivalvia, Ostreida, Ostreidae. The record is from RefSeq and is a predicted model, not a curated record. The transcript has 3 exons.